AUUGAACGCUGGCGGCAUGCCUUACACAUGCAAGUCGAACGGCAGCACGGGAGCAAUCCUGGUGGCGAGUGGCGAACGGGUGAGUAAUAUAUUGGAACGUGCCCAGUCGUGGGGGAUAACGUAGCGAAAGCUACGCUAAUACCGCAUACGAUCUAUGGAUGAAAGCGGGGGAUCGCAAGACCUCGCGCGAUUGGAGCGGCCGAUAUCAGAUUAGGUAGUUGGUGAGGUAAAGGCUCACCAAGCCGACGAUCUGUAGCUGGUCUGAGAGGACGACCAGCCACACUGGGACUGAGACACGGCCCAGACUCCUACGGGAGGCAGCAGUGGGGAAUUUUGGACAAUGGGCGCAAGCCUGAUCCAGCAAUGCCGCGUGCAGGAUGAAGGCCUUCGGGUUGUAAACG
RNAcentral lists this ribosomal RNA (401 nucleotides) under uncultured bacterium. RNAcentral's name for it is "bacterial SSU rRNA". It matches the Rfam family "Bacterial small subunit ribosomal RNA", at positions 30 to 431 of the family's 1533-position model. The record is from RNAcentral.